GACGAACGCUGGCGGCGUGCCUAAUACAUGCAAGUAGAACGCACAGUUUAUACCGUAGCUUGCUACACCAUAGACUGUGAGUUGCGAACGGGUGAGUAACGCGUAGGUAACCUGCCUGGUAGCGGGGGAUAACUAUUGGAAACGAUAGCUAAUACCGCAUAAUAUUAAUUAUUGCAUGAUAAUUAAUUGAAAGGUGCAAUUGCACCACUACCAGAUGGACCUGCGUUGUAUUAGCUAGUAGGUGAGGUAACGGCUCACCUAGGCGAAGAUACAUAGCCGACCUGAGAGGGUGAUCGGCCGCACUGGGACUGAGACACGGCCCAGACUCCUACGGGAGGCAGCAGUAGGGAAUCUUCGGCAAUGGACGAAAGUCUGACCGAGCAACGCCGCGUGAGUGAAGAAGGUUUUCGGAUCGUAAAGCUCUGUUGUAAGAGAAGAACGGGUGUGAGAGUGGAAAGUUCACACUGUGACGGUAUCUUACCAGAAAGGGACGGCUAACUACGUG
Molecule: ribosomal RNA, 505 nt
Filed under: uncultured bacterium
Lineage: Bacteria
Description: partial 16S ribosomal RNA
Rfam family: Bacterial small subunit ribosomal RNA
Source: RNAcentral